This 274-nucleotide ribosomal RNA is filed under the name uncultured bacterium. RNAcentral's name for it is "partial 16S ribosomal RNA". It matches the Rfam family "Bacterial small subunit ribosomal RNA", at positions 523 to 796 of the family's 1533-position model. The record is from RNAcentral.
AUACGGAGGGUGCGAGCGUUAAUCGGAAUUACUGGGCGUAAAGCGUACGUAGGCGGUUGGUUAAGUUAGAUGUGAAAGCCCCGGGCUUAACCUGGGAACUGCAUUUAAAACUGGCGAACUAGAGUUGAGUAGAGGGGAGUGGAAUUUCAGGUGUAGCGGUGAAAUGCGUAGAGAUCUGAAGGAACACCAGUGGCGAAGGCGACUCCCUGGACUCGAACUGACGCUGAGGUACGAAAGCGUGGGUAGCAAACGGGAUUAGAAACCCCUGUAGUCC